RNAcentral lists this ribosomal RNA (247 nucleotides) under uncultured bacterium. RNAcentral describes it as "partial 16S ribosomal RNA". It matches the Rfam family "Bacterial small subunit ribosomal RNA", at positions 1253 to 1500 of the family's 1533-position model. The record is from RNAcentral.
AAUAGUGAUAUUAAGCAAAACCCAAAAAGCAGUCUCAGUUCGGAUUGAAGGCUGAAAUUCGCCUUCAUGAAGCCGGAAUUGCUAGUAAUGGCAGGUCAGCAUACUGCCGUGAAUACGUUCCCGGGCCUUGUACACACCGCCCGUCACACCAUGAGAGUUGGGGAUACCCGAAGCCUGUGAGCUAACAGUAAUGAAGCAGCAGUCGAAGGUAGAAUCAAUGAUUGGGGUGAAGUCGUAACAAGGUACC